GUCUGGGGCUGCUGCUGUUGCACUUAGGCUGGGUCUCCGAGCCCCGGAGGAAGCAGGCGUGUGUUGAAUUUCUCUCUGCCCCUCACCUUGGAAUAAACAGGAAGCGACAAGCACCCAGCCCGGCCCGGCACUUGCCUUUGUGAAGGGGUCUGCCCUGCACAGCCUUUAGGAAGCUUCCUCGGGACCCCUUCCCGGUGCGCCGCCCCGGGUGGGCCUGGGGGCGCGCCCUCGGUUCAAGCUCUACGUUCGUGACAUCAAACCUCCUGUUGGGCCAUUUCCGAGAACUCCCAUCAGUUUCUGUAUAGUGUAAAAGGUAAGUGGAAUUACUUGUGACUGUUCUUUGUGAUGAUGUCUGGGAAGCAGAGCUUGUCGCGGCAGGAGCUGCUCUGCAGUGGUGGACCUGUCUGGCUGCGUUUGUUUUGACAAGGGUGUGCCUCAUUUGUGUGUUUCUUCUUUGGGGCUGGAUGUUAAUGGCUGGGGCUUGGGUAUCUAUUCACAGUA
RNAcentral lists this long non-coding RNA (501 nucleotides) under Homo sapiens (human). RNAcentral describes it as "non-protein coding lnc-LDLRAD4-1:2". Lineage: Eukaryota; Metazoa; Chordata; Mammalia; Primates; Hominidae. The record is from RNAcentral.